AUGAACGCUGGCGGCGUGCCUAAUCCAUGCCAGUCGAGCGAACGGACGAGAAGCUUGCUUCUCUGAUGUUAGCGGCGGACGGGUGAGUAACACGUGGGUAACCUACCUAUAAGACUGGGAUAACUUCGGGAAACCGGAGCUAAUACCGGAUAAUAUUUUGAACCGCAUGGUUCAAAAGUGAAAGACGGUCUUGCUGUCACUUAUAGAUGGAUCCGCGCUGCAUUAGCUAGUUGGUAAGGUAACGGCUUACCAAGGCAACGAUGCAUAGCCGACCUGAGAGGGUGAUCGGCCACACUGGAACUGAGACACGGUCCAGACUCCUACGGGAGGCAGCAGUAGGGAAUCUUCCGCAAUGGGCGAAAGCCUGACGGAGCAACGCCGCGUGAGUGAUGAAGGUCUUCGGAUCGUAAAACUCUGUUAUUAGGGAAGAACAUAUGUGUAAGUAACUGUGCACAUCUUGACGGUACCUAAUCAGAAAGCCACGGCUAACUACGUG
RNAcentral lists this ribosomal RNA (496 nucleotides) under uncultured bacterium. Its description in RNAcentral is "partial 16S ribosomal RNA". It matches the Rfam family "Bacterial small subunit ribosomal RNA", at positions 29 to 507 of the family's 1533-position model. The record is from RNAcentral.